CACUCUUGAAACCCUAAAACCCAUCUUUAUAUCAUCGCUCAAGCUGGUAAAAGCGGAGCCGGAGACUACUUUUUUAAGCGAACCGGCCGGUUCAAGCUGGCCCGACCGUCGACCGAUACUGGAAGUCAACGGACCGGAGGUAAUGAGACCGGUGGGCUGAAUUGGGGUCAUUAUUGGACCGGAACCGGAGGAAGAUGAUCUUUUCGGUAUUGGUCCGGAGUUAGGCCCGGAUCUGACGGGUCGGGAUUCACCAUUAUGCAGUGAAGAAGAUGAAGGCCUCAGAAUUGGCGGGCCCCCAAGAGGGGGGAGGGGGUCCCUAUAAUUAUAAUUUAUAUAUGCCAUAUGUAUAAAAAUGUGCAUAUGAGUGUGAAAUUACCCCAGUAACCUUCACAUACUGUCCAUCAACAGCACCUCUAAGCUCAGCAUCAGGAAAUCUUCUUAAAAAACCCACCAAACCUCGUUCUUUAUAGGCAUAAUUCCACAGUAAAAUCACCAAAAUUGGAGUUAAAACCCCGCCAACGCCCACUAAAAUCACCGAUUUUUUAACUGCCGCCAUCACAAAAGCACCCGCCAUUAAAGCUAUUAGUAACACAACAAGUAAAACCCACAUUGCCACUCUUGAAACCCUAAAACCCAUCUUUAUAUCAUCGCUCAAGCUGGUAAAAGCGGAGCCGGAGACUACUUUUUUAAGCGAACCGGCCGGUUCAAGCUGGCCCGACCGUCGACCGAUACUGGAAGUCAACGGACCGGAGGUAAUGAGACCGGUGGGCUGAAUUGGGGUCAUUAUUGGACCGGAACCGGAGGAAGAUGAUCUUUUCGGUAUUGGUCCGGAGUUAGGCCCGGAUCUGACGGGUCGGGAUUCACCAUUAUGCAGUGAAGAAGAUGAAGGCCU
This 892-nucleotide long non-coding RNA is filed under the name Nicotiana benthamiana. RNAcentral's name for it is "long non-coding RNA (NBEN_LNC042111)". The record is from RNAcentral. Lineage: Eukaryota; Viridiplantae; Streptophyta; Magnoliopsida; Solanales; Solanaceae.